This 497-nucleotide ribosomal RNA is filed under the name uncultured bacterium. RNAcentral describes it as "partial 16S ribosomal RNA". It matches the Rfam family "Bacterial small subunit ribosomal RNA", at positions 28 to 507 of the family's 1533-position model. The record is from RNAcentral.
GAUGAACGCUGGCGGCGUGCCUAAUACAUGCAAGUCGAGCGAACGGACGAGAAGCUUGCUUCUCUGAUGUUAGCGGCGGACGGGUGAGUAACACGUGGAUAACCUACCUAUAAGACUGGGAUAACUUCGGGAAACCGGAGCUAAUACCGGAUGAUAUUUUGAACCGCAUGGUUCAAAAGUGAAAGACGGUCUUGCUGUCACUUAUAGAUGGAUCCGCGCUGCAUUAGCUAGUUGGUAAGGUAACGGCUUACCAAGGCAACGAUGCAUAGCCGACCUGAGAGGGUGAUCGGCCACACUGGAACUGAGGCACGGUCCAGACUCCUACGGGAGGCAGCAGUAGGUAAUCUGCCGCAAUGGGCGAAAGCCUGACGGAGCAACGCCGCGUGAGUGAUGAAGGUCUUCGGAUCGUAAAACUCUGUUAUUAGGGAAGAACAUAUGUGUAAGUAACUGUGCACAUCUUGACGGUACCUAAUCAGAAAGCCACGGCUAACUACGUG